This 1935-nucleotide ribosomal RNA is filed under the name Triticum aestivum (bread wheat). RNAcentral describes it as "partial small subunit ribosomal RNA". Lineage: Eukaryota; Viridiplantae; Streptophyta; Magnoliopsida; Poales; Poaceae. The record is from RNAcentral.
AUGAGCACGUACGCGGACCACACAUCAAUGGCAGGAGGAGGAGGAGGACUUGUGGUGCGUGUGUGGAAAGAAUGGGGGAUCCAGAUCUUGGUUGUCGCCAGCUUCCUGCUUCAGCUCAUCCUACUCGUCUUCGGCGGGUUCCGGCGGCGCAGCUCCUCUGCCGUGCUGCUGGCCUUCCUCUGGCUGUCGUACCUGAUGGCCGAUAACAUGGCGGUAUAUGCCCUUGGGCACAUGUCCCUUGAAAGCAGGCCGGGGGAUGACGGGCUCGUCGCGUUCUGGGCAACCUUCUUUCUGCUCCACCUCGGUGGCCAGGACACCAUCACUGCCUUCUCCCUAGAGGACAACCAGCUAUGGAGGCGCCACCUCCUGACUCUCCUAGUGCAGGCAUCAGGAGCCGGCUACGCCAUCUACCGGUACAUCAUACCCGGUACCUGGAACUUGGUCUCGGCCACCAUAGUGAUGUUCAUAGUGGGUUUUCUCAAGUACGGGGAGAGGGUGUGGGCUCUCCAAAGAGGCAGCAAUGGCAAUUUUGCUUUGUUGAAAGUUUACAGCAAAACUUCUGAAGAACGGGCUUACAUCUUGAAGACCAGAGCUAAGAUGGAUAGAGAGGAGGAGAUCCUAUUCGACGCUCAUUACAUGUUCCAUUUUUGUAUGGGUGCAUUUAUCAACGUCAGCCUGGAAAGGUGGUCCACCGACGCUGUUCUCAGUUAUUUAGACCCCGUUCUGCCUCUGCCUUAUAAAUUCAACAUGGACAUGUAUGACUUGGUCGAGGCGGAGCUCUCCCUUCUGUACGACCUGUUUUACACUAAGGCGCAAGUGGUUCACAGUUGGCCAGGCUACCUGAUCCGUGCCAUCUCACUGCUUGGCACGGUGAGCGCAUUCUUGUUGUUCCGUCUCGACGACGGUAAAGGUGCUCACAGCAGAGUAGAUGUCUCCAUCAGUUACAUGCUAUUGGUUGGGGCCAUCGUUCUGGAAACCACAUCAGUGUUUGCAAUUGUAGGAUCAACAUGGACGUGCGGCUACUUGCACUGUCAGGGAUGGAACAAAACUAAUGCUAUGGUUUUGUGCAUUCGGCGACUUAUCCAAGUGGGAAGCCAAAGAAAAUGGUUGCACUCCAUCGGGCAACAUAAUGUGUUGGAUUACUGCACCCGUAACCAAACCAAUUGGAUGAACAGGAUUGUAGAGGCAACUGCACUUAAAAAGUGGCGGAGAAAGGUCAAGUUCUCAGCCAAUACAAAGAUCACCAUGGAGUUCAAGGAACUAGUGUUGGGACAGGUACGGAGAACAAUGACUCGUUAUUCUAAGACAUGGAGUAUCCUGGAUGCACCGGGAAAAUGUGUGCUAACGGAAUACAGGCUCUUGGAUGAUAUGGGCUUUUCUAUCAAGGACAGGGAUUUCGCCCAUUGCAUUCUCAUCUGGCAAGUAGCAACUGACAUUUACCUUUGCUGUCGUGAUGACAACCAGCAUCAAAGUAGGUGCCUCAACGCUGAAGAGGACGAUAAAGUUCUUGUAGAUGCAAUAAAGGUAUUAUCUAAGUACAUGGGUUUUCUAAUGAUACACCCAAGCUUACUGCCCGGCGGAGUUCCAAGCGAUUCUACCAUCAAUAAUUUGGAGAAUCUGUGGAAGGACAGCAAAUGUUCUACUAGCAGUGAGUUUGCUAGGACAUUACUUGCCGAUGAGAAUGAGGAUCCUAGGUUGAAGCCCUACUCGCCUCUAGCUGCUAAGCUGCUUGGAAACAAAAGGAAGCCCAUGCUGCAAGUCAUCUUCGGGGUGUGGGUGGAGUUCCUGUGCUAUGCAGCCUACCAUGGCACCGGUGUUUCCCACUGUACACAGCUUGGCAGGGGCGGUGAGUUCCUCUCCGUUAUCCGCCUCGUCAUACAUCACAUCCAGCUAUUUCGUCACAAGUAUAGUGAGAGGCUUCCAAGCGACCGCUGA